Long non-coding RNA from Gymnodraco acuticeps, 936 nucleotides. RefSeq lists it as uncharacterized. The transcript has 2 exons. Lineage: Eukaryota; Metazoa; Chordata; Actinopteri; Perciformes; Bathydraconidae. The record is from RefSeq and is a predicted model, not a curated record.
GUCAAAGAUGGAGUCCGGAGCUGGGAGGCCGUGAGGUUGCCAAUGGACGAAAUACCGCUUUUUAAGCGAGAAGCCGUUACGCCUCGCGAAUAGUUACAGCGGUGGAAACGGACGCAUGUGUGGGAGAUAGACGGUAAAAGCCAGGACGUGUUUUCCCUCGCUAAAGUGGGCAACUGGGCCGUUGUAUUUGUUCUGUGUGUGGAGCCGCACGGACCGGCCCUGCCUCCGCCAGGUAGCGCUCAGCAGAACAUCUGACGGCGGGAGGACCGCGCUCUGCUGUGCGCUGAGGCGUCGGGACGCUCGUGGGCAUACAUGGGUAUCGAAGGGUCUGACUGCCCGCGAAGAGGGUCCAGGAGCCCUCGUAGCUUAAAACGGGCCGCUGGAGGUCCCCAGUCCGCAGUUUGGGAACCAUUGCCGGAUCCCAGAAGCCCCUAUGACAGGAAGAGUCUGUGGCUUUUCGAACAAGCUGCAUUAUUAGGCUGUAUUUCACCCUGGGAGAUACAGGCCUCCUGGACCACGCCUCCUACAAAAAGAACAUUUUGUUCACAGAACUUCAGAGGCUGUCUUGGUUUGCAUCGCAGACCACGUGUCAGAUGGAGUAACAGGCUUUCAGGUCAACCAUUGGGACGUCUUCAUGCUCCACGCUGGCCCACAUUGUAACAUCAUCUCCAUGCUGGAUAACGUUUACCUUCAAUUCUCCGGCUGGACACGAGGCGUUUUACAUUCUUUGAUUUGAUUAUGAUCCCACAUCCAUUAUAAUCAGGGAUCAAAGAGCUACACAUGAACACCAUUUAGUUAUUUCUUUAUUUAACAUACAUUGUGAUGACAUAAGUUUGAUAUAAGUUACAUGUAAAUAAGACUAAAGUUGCAUUUAAAUAGUUGUCAUUUUGAGAAUUGGAAAGGGAUUAAAAAUAAACAAAACUGUUCUAAAAAUAA